CCCUCAGAUGUUCUGGGCUGCACGCGUGCUACACUGAAGUGUCAUAGCGAGUUAACCUAUCUUUAACGGGAAGGGUAAUCUUGAAUGCACUUCGUGAUGGGGAUAGAUCAUUGCAAUUAUUGAUCUUCAACGAGGAAUUCCUAGUAAGCGCAAGUCAUCAGCUUGCGCUGAUUACGUCACUGCUUUUUGUACACACCGCCCGUCGCUCCUACCGAUUGAGUGUUCCGGCGAACAAUUUGGACGAGCUUGGUUUACCUUGCUUGGAAGUCUUGUAAGCCAUAACACUUAGAGGAAGGAGAAGUCGUAACA
This 309-nucleotide ribosomal RNA is filed under the name uncultured eukaryote. RNAcentral's name for it is "partial 18S ribosomal RNA". It matches the Rfam family "Eukaryotic small subunit ribosomal RNA", at positions 1470 to 1796 of the family's 1831-position model. The record is from RNAcentral.